CUCAGGUCCCUUUCCACGCUGUGGAGGAUUUGUUCCUUUGCUCUUUGCAAUAAAUCUUGGUACUGCUCGUUCUUUGGGUCCACGCUGCCUUUAUGAGCUGUAACACUCACUGCGAAGGUCUGCAGCUUCACUCCUGAAGCCAGGGAGACCACGAACCCAUCGGGAGGAAUGAACAACUCCAGAGGCGCCGCCUUAAGAGCUAUAACACUCACUGCGAAGGUCCGCGGCUUCAUUCUUGAAGUCGGUGAGACCAAGAACCCACCAAUUCCGGACACAGUUUCAUAAAUGUUCCAUACAUGCUUGAGAAUAAUAUAUAUUCUGUAGAAG
RNAcentral lists this long non-coding RNA (327 nucleotides) under Homo sapiens (human). Its description in RNAcentral is "HSALNT0316392". Lineage: Eukaryota; Metazoa; Chordata; Mammalia; Primates; Hominidae. The record is from RNAcentral.